UGCAUAUCAAAAGCGGAGGAAAAGAAACCAACAGGGAUUGCCUUAGUAGCGGCGAGUGAAGCGGCAAAAGCUCAAAUUUGAAAUCUGGCUCUUUCAGAGUCCGAGUUGUAAUUUGAAGAAGGUAUCUUUGGGUCUGGCUCUUGUCUAUGUUUCUUGGAACAGAACGUCACAGAGGGUGAGAAUCCCGUGCGAUGAGAUGAUCCAGGCCUAUGUAAAGUUCCUUCGAAGAGUCGAGUUGUUUGGGAAUGCAGCUCUAAGUGGGUGGUAAAUUCCAUCUAAAGCUAAAUAUUGGCGAGAGACCGAUAGCGAACAAGUACAGUGAUGGAAAGAUGAAAAGAACUUUGAAAAGAGAGUGAAAAAGUACGUGAAAUUGUUGAAAGGGAAGGGCUUGAGAUCAGACUUGGUAUUUUGUAUGUUACUUCUUCGGGGGUGGCCUCUACAGUUUAUCGGGCCAGCAUCAGUUUGGGCGGUAGGAGAAUUGCGUUGGAAUGUGGCACGGCUUCGGUUGUGUGUUAUAGCCUUCGUCGAUACUGCCAGCCUAGACUGAGGACUGCGGUUUAUACCUAGGAUGUUGGCAUAAUGAUCUUAAGUCGCCCGUCUUGAAACCACGGACCA
This 615-nucleotide ribosomal RNA is filed under the name Candida tropicalis. RNAcentral's name for it is "eukaryotic LSU rRNA". It matches the Rfam family "Eukaryotic large subunit ribosomal RNA", at positions 37 to 668 of the family's 3401-position model. Lineage: Eukaryota; Fungi; Ascomycota; Pichiomycetes; Serinales; Debaryomycetaceae. The record is from RNAcentral.